CUAACGGGAAUCGUCCUUGCU
RNAcentral lists this microRNA (21 nucleotides) under Gallus gallus (chicken). RNAcentral's name for it is "microRNA Ros-gga". Lineage: Eukaryota; Metazoa; Chordata; Aves; Galliformes; Phasianidae. The record is from RNAcentral.